AAAUCUCGUAAGGGUAUAUGGUGGAUGCCUUGACUUAAAAAGACGAUGAAGGACGUAGCAGCCUGCGAAAAGCCUCGGCGAGGUGGCAAGCAACCUUUGACCCGAGGAUCUCCGAAUGGGGUAACCUUCCCCGUUGUUGACGGGGAGCCCGUCAGCCGAAUAAAUAAGCUGAUGAGGGGACUACCCGGCGAAUUGAAACAUCUUAGUAGCCGGAGGAAAAGAAAAAAACCCUCGUGUCUCACUAACGUUCGACACACAAUUUUUAAUGAUCAAUGAUCAAUUUUCAAUCAAUAUUCAAUAUCAAAUAUCAAAAUAUUGAACAGAGGAUUUGAAAAUUGUAUUAUGGAAAAUUGAAAAUUUCACCGUGGCGAGCGAUAGCGAGACACGGGGUCAUUCCCUGAGUAGUGGCGAGCGAAAAGGGAUCAGCCUAAACCGUUUAAACCGCGUUCUCCUUCGCUUUCCGCUCCGUAAGUAAAAAACGGAUCGGACAGCGGAGGGGGGCAGAAGGACCUGGGUCCACAUGUUUAAGCGGUGUCGCAAGAUAUUGCGUUCACUGCCCAGACCACAGUGGGGCAGAGUAUACGAAAAAUAACUUCCUUAGCUGAAGCGAGCUGGAAAGCUCCGCCAGAGACGGUGAUAGCCCGGUAAGCGAAAAGGGUUAUUGCUCUGCGGCAAUAAAUCUUAAGUACCGCGGGACUCGUGAAAUCCCGUGGGAAGCAGGGUCGACUAUGACCCAAGGCUAAAUACUUUUUAAGAUCGAUAGUGAACAAGUACCAUGAGGGAAAGGUGAAAAGCAUCCCGGUUAGGGAGGUGAAAUAGUACCUGAAACCAUAUACUUACAAGGAGCAGGAGCCGUGUCUCACUAACGUUCGACACGAAAUUUUCAAUUUUCAAUUUUAAAAUUUUAAAUUGGUAAUGAUUUUUUUGCUGGGCAAUUUUGAUUUUUUAUUGAUUAUUGAUUAUUUCACCGUGGCGGGCGAUAGCGAGACGCGGUGACUGUGUGCCUAUUGAAGAAUGAGCCAACGAGUUUGUUCUAUGUGGCUUGGCUAAUCCGCCUUGAACGGAGGAGCCAGAGUGAAAGCGAGGGUUAAUAGCCCGUUUCCAUUUAUUUGGUAGAGACGCAAAAUUUUGCGUCUUUACUUGGUAGAGACGCAAAAUUUUGCUUCUUUACCAAAAUAUAUGGAGUGUCGCAUGGACAAGACCCGAAGCCGGGUGAUCCAGCCAUGGCCAGGUUGAAUCCCGCCGAAAGGCGGGAGGAGGACCGAACCCUUUGGUGGUGCAAAACCAUGGGAUGAGCUGUGGCUAGGGCAGAAAUUGCAAUCGAACUCGGCAAUAGCUGGUUCUCCUCGAAAUAGCUUUAGGGCUAGCCUCGGAUGUUUAUAGCGGGGGGUAGAGCACUGAAUGAGAACGGGCCGCAAGGUACCGCUCUUAACCAAACUCCGAAUACCCGUUAACAUAAUCCGGGAGUCAGACUGUGGGGGCUAAGCUUCAUAGUCAAAAGGGAAACAGCCCAGAUCGCCGUCUAAGGCCCCAAAAUGUAUGCUAAGUGUAAAAGGUGGUGUCGUGACUUUAACAACCAGGAGGUUGGCUUAGAAGCAGCCAUCCUUUAAAGAUAGCGUAAUAGCUCACUGGUCAAGUUGCCUCGCGCCGAAAACGUAUCGGGGCUAAGCAUACUGCCGAAGACGCGGGUCGUGCAUAACACAGAAUAUUCAACAAUCAAUAACCAACAAUCAUUCAAUAUUCAAUGAUUUAAUGAUCUAUAAGAGUUGAUUAUUAUCAAAUUGAGUAUUUGAUAUUGAUUGGAUAUUGAGUAUUGAAAAUUGAAUAUUCCGCGUUGUGCGCGGCGGUAGAGGAGCAUUUUGUGCGCACGGAAGCGGAGUCGUAAGGCUUCGUGGAGCGCACGGAAGAGAGAAUGUUGGCAUGAGUAGCAGAAAUCCCGAUGAAAACUCGGGACACCGUAAGCCUAAGGUUUCCUGGGCAACGAAAAUCGUCCCAGGGUUAGUCGGUCCUAAGGCGAGGCCCGUGUAGUGCGGGCGUAGUCGAUGGAAGAGCUGGUUAAUAUUCCAGCACUGCGUUUGGUUUCCAAUGGAGUGACGCAAUCCCAAAAUUCAAACGUUUAUUGGUUUGAACGUUGCUGGAGCCAAGGGGCGGCCACCGGAAAAUCCGGGCCAAUCACCCCAAGGCUUUGGCGAGAGGCAAAGCUUCGGCCGAGCCAAUUUGAACGGCGGGAAGGCCAAGAAAAACUUCUCGGGCUAAGCCAAACGCAACCGUACUGCAAACCGACACAGGUAGGCGAGGCGAGUAGCCUCAGGUGUACGAGAGAAUCUUCGUUAAGGAACUCGGCAAAACAGCGGUCGUAAGUUAGCAAUAUGGCCUUCCGCCGCAAGGCGGACGCAGCGAAAGAUCCCAAGUGACUGUUUAGCAAAAACACAGCUCCCUGCGAACUCGUAAGAGGAUGUAUAGGGGGUGAUGCCUGGCCAGUGUCCGAACGUUAAGGGGAGAGGUGAAACGUGGCUCUUUAUUGGGCGUCAUGCUUAUCGAAGAGUUAUCUGAAUGGAACAAUUUUCCGGUCAGCCUCAAAGUUAAUUAGUUAAUUAGUCAAUUAGGGAUUAAGUACUCCCCUAAUUAAUUAAUCACUAAUCCCUAAUUGACUUGGUGAAAAACUGGAAAUCGUGAUUUUAUCAGAUAACAAUUAACAUGGAAUGAUGCUUGGUAAUGAGCCACGCGUAGCUUUAAACCGAAGCGCGGAUGAACGCCGGCCGUAACUAUAACGGUCCUAAGGUAGCGAAAUUCCUUGUCGGGUAAAUUCCGACCUGCACGAAUGGCAUAACAACUUGGGAACUGUCUCAACGAAGAACUCGGCGAAAUUGCAAGACGAGUAAAGAUGCUCGUUAAACAUAGCUGGACGAAAAGACCCCGUGAAGCUUUACUAUAGCUUGACAUUGAAUUAGAGAUCGUCAUGUUCAGAAUAGGUGGGACCUCGCCGCAAGGCGGGGGCCAGUGAGAUACCACCCUUGGCUAUUUUUAAUUCUAAUCCCGAUCCCUUUCAUCAGGGCGGGAGACAGUGUCUGGUGGGUAGUUUGUCUGGGGCGGAUGCCUCCCAAAAGGUAACGGAGGCGUUUACAAAGGUCGGCUAUCCCGGAAUGGAAACCCGGGAGAUAGUGUAAAGGCACAAGCCGGCUUUACUGCGAGACCUGCAAGUCAAGCAGUCGCGAAAGCGGAACUUAGUGAUCCGACCGUUCGAAAUAGGACGGCGGUAGCUCAUCGGAUAAAAGUUACUCCGGGGAUAACAGGCUAGU
RNAcentral lists this ribosomal RNA (3299 nucleotides) under Candidatus Falkowbacteria bacterium CG23_combo_of_CG06-09_8_20_14_all_49_15. RNAcentral describes it as "bacterial LSU rRNA". It matches the Rfam family "Bacterial large subunit ribosomal RNA", at positions 1 to 2486 of the family's 2925-position model. The record is from RNAcentral. Lineage: Bacteria; Candidatus Falkowiibacteriota.